Molecule: ribosomal RNA, 492 nt
Filed under: uncultured bacterium
Lineage: Bacteria
Description: partial 16S ribosomal RNA
Rfam family: Bacterial small subunit ribosomal RNA
Source: RNAcentral
AGUGAACGCUGGCGGUCGGCCUAACACAUGCAAGCCGAACGGCAGCACAGUCAGAGCUUGCUCUUACGGGUGGCGAGUGGCGGACGGGUGAGGACUACAUCGGAAUCUACUUUUUCGUGGGGGAUAACGUAGGGAAACUUACGCUAAUACCGCAUACGACCUACGGGUGAAAGCAGGGGAUCUUCGGACCUUGCGCGAUUGAAUGAGCCGCUGUCGGAUUAGCGAGUUGGCGGGGUAAAGGCCCACCAAGGCGACGAUCCGUAGCUGGUCUGAGAGGAUGAGCAGCCACACUGGAACUGAGACACGGUCCAGACUCCUACGGGAGGCAGCAGUGGGGAAUAUUGGACAAUGGGCGCAAGCCUGAUCCAGCCAUACCGCGUGGGUGAAGAAGGCCUUCGGGUUGUAAAGCCCUUUUGUUGGGAAAGAAAAGCAGCAGGUUAAUACCCCGCUGUUCUGACGGUACCCAAAGAAUAGGCACCGGCUAACUUCGUA